CACGGGGGGUGCAAGCGUUGUUCGGAAUCACUGGGCUUAAAGCGUGUGUAGGCGGUUGCCUAAGUACCUUGUGAAAUCCCACGGCUCACCCGUGGAACUGCUUGGUAUACUGGGUGUCUUGAGCCACUUAGGGGCUACCGGAACAAAUGGUGGAGCGGUGAAAUGCGUAGAUAUCAUUUGGAACGCCAAUGGUGAAAACAGGUAGCUGGGAGUGUGCUGACGCUGAGACACGAAAGCCAGGGGAGCAAACGGG
Molecule: ribosomal RNA, 253 nt
Filed under: uncultured bacterium
Lineage: Bacteria
Description: partial 16S ribosomal RNA
Rfam family: Bacterial small subunit ribosomal RNA
Source: RNAcentral